UGAUAAAGGCUGGAGACCCAGGCUAGCAGGCCCAUUUAUGACAGUCAGACCCCAUUACGGGCUCAGCUGAGGACACAUCUGGAACCCAUUUCCUGCCAGGGGGAACGGUGGAUGGCGAGUAGUAGUCAGCGUUCAGCUGAGCCUCUCCUGUCUGGCUGUUGGCUGCCUCUCCUGGCCAGAGCCUGAGAACGUGGCUGCUAGUGAAAGUGUUUAUGUGUUUAUGUGACCACAGCAGGACAUUUGAAAAUGAUUCAGGACACAGGACAACUCUUCACGACUCCAGCAUUGUAGGACAAUUGGCAUCCCCAAUCUGUUCCCACUCACUGCCAGAAGCACCCCAAAUCCUUGCAACAGCCAAGAAACCCCUUCACAAGUUUCCAGAGCAUACCGUGGCAGGGGACAUUUGGACUCAGACACGGCACACAAGGGGAAUGCCAUGUGAAAUAAAGGCAAAGAUGGGGUGAUGCCUUGCAAACCGAGGAAUGAUGAAGAUUGCCAGCUAACGAGCAGAACCUAGGGGAGAGGCAUGGGGCAGAUUCUUCUCAUAGGCCAAGAAGGAAGCAACCCUGCUGACACUCCUCUCUCAGACUGAGCCUCCAGAACUGGGAGACGCUACAUUUCUGGUGUUUAAGCCACGCACUUUGUGAUACUUUUCAAUGGCAGCCUCAGCAAAGACAUACAAUACUAUUCUGUGUCUCUGAGCUUUAGGUGACAGACAAGAAACAAGCAGAAUUAAGACAAGCUGAGGAGGAGGGAGGCCUGGGGCUCCUACAGGUUGAAUGACCUCCCUCUGUGGAGGUGUCAGCAGGCUGGAACCAGAAGCAGAAGCGCACUUCGAGCAGAGAUGCUUGCAUUCACAUUGCCUUUCCCGUGAGUCCCAUCUCGCAGCAAAAGACGCAUCUAUUAAGUCAGAUUUGCAAUCAAGUUGUUUUUAUCGAAAAAAGAAAGUUGCAAUUAGUUUCGAGCCUUCUUUCAGGCAGUAGGUUUGAGAAAUGAAAAUAAUGAAUAACUCAAACUGUAGCUGGAGCAUGACAGACUUUUAACUGGCUGCAGUUUAUAGCCUGUGUGGCUGGGAGAAAUGAGAUCUCCAUCUCAUUCUAGAUCCUUCUCUAUACCUUGCUAAGCAUGCAUGAUGAAAUGGGUUCCAUAAUACUGCCUGAAAUGUACAGCAUGACAUACUACUGAUGGAAAUGAAAUGAGCAGUUCAAAAUCACGGGCCCUGAAAGAAAAAGCAGACCUUAUAAUAUCCAGUUUCAAAAAGUAAUGUAUUUAAAAACAAUUUGCAAACUGGAAAGGCAAUUAAAAGGGUCCUUUUACUCUACUGUGCCAUGUGUCACAAACUUUAAGCUUUGAGAGUUGCUCAUUGCAUCUAAGAUUGAGCCAAAGACAUUUGGCUUCAGCAAAAACUAGGAAAAGCACUGCUAAAAUGAUCAUAUUCUAUGUAGUACUUUGAAUACUUUCAAUGAUGACAGAUUCUUCUGAAAGCAGGGUCUGUGGAAUAUGCCUCUCUUAUAGUAUUUCACCCUGAAAUAUUUAUAGGAAUGUUUCUGUAUACUUUAAGAUUUUAUAUUCUAAAUGGAAACUUCCAAAUAUCAAAAAUAGUAUUAAUUUUCUAAAAUAGUGUAAGCUACACACAAAAAAUAGUGUAAGCUAAUAUUAUUAGCCUGUAUUAUUUUGUUCUUCAUUCAGAAUAAAGUAUAUUAGUGCAUAAAUAAUAGAGAUACAUAUUUUAUUAUAGAAUUGUACAAUUAUCCUGUGUACUCAGUAUCAUAGAGAUGUAAACUUAUAGUUCCAUCAACAUGUCUGAAAUUGACAGGUUUAAAAUUAAAAUGUGA
Long non-coding RNA from Canis lupus familiaris (dog), 1835 nucleotides. RefSeq lists it as uncharacterized. The record is from RefSeq and is a predicted model, not a curated record. Lineage: Eukaryota; Metazoa; Chordata; Mammalia; Carnivora; Canidae. The transcript is spliced from 3 exons.